AAUACCUCGGGGGGAUGACGGUACCUGAAGAAUAAGCACCGGCUAACUACGUGCCAGCAGCCGCGGUAAUACGUAGGGUGCGAGCGUUAAUCGGAAUUACUGGGCGUAAAGCGUGCGCAGGCGGUUGUGCAAGACAGGUGUGAAAUCCCCGGGCUUAACCUGGGAACUGCACUUGUGACUGCACGGCUAGAGUACGGUAGAGGGGAGUGGAAUUCCGCGUGUAGCAGUGAAAUGCGUAGAUAUGCGGAGGAACACCGAUGGCGAAGGCAAUCCCCUGGACCUGUACUGACGCUCAUGCACGAAAGCGUGGGGAGCAAACAGGAUUAGAUACCCUGGUAG
Molecule: ribosomal RNA, 339 nt
Filed under: uncultured bacterium
Lineage: Bacteria
Description: bacterial SSU rRNA
Rfam family: Bacterial small subunit ribosomal RNA
Source: RNAcentral